This 341-nucleotide ribosomal RNA is filed under the name uncultured bacterium. RNAcentral describes it as "bacterial SSU rRNA". It matches the Rfam family "Bacterial small subunit ribosomal RNA", at positions 28 to 369 of the family's 1533-position model. The record is from RNAcentral.
GACGAACGCUGGCGGCGUGCUUAACACAUGCAAGUCGAGCGGUAAGGCCCUUUCGGGGGUACACGAGCGGCGAACGGGUGAGUAACACGUGGGUGACCUGCCCUCAGCUCUGGGAUAAGCCUGGGAAACCGGGUCUAAUACCGGAUAUGACUCCAUGACGCAUGUUGUGGGGUGGAAAGCCUUGUGCGGCUGAGGAUGGGCCCGCGGCCUAUCAGCUUGUUGGUGGGGUGAUGGCCUACCAAGGCGACGACGGGUAGCCGGCCUGAGAGGGCGACCGGCCACACUGGGACUGAGACACGGCCCAGACUCCUACGGGAGGCAGCAGGUGGGGAAUCUUGCGC